AUUGAACGCUGGCGGCAGGCUUAAACACAUGCAAGUCGAGCGGUAACAGAGAUAGCUUGCUAUCUGCUGACGAGCGGCGGACGGGUGAGUAACGCGUAGGAAUCUACCUAGUAGGUGGGGGACAACAGUUGGAAACGACUGCUAAUACCGCAUACGCCCGUACGGGGGAAAGCGAGGGGAUCUUCAGACCUUGCGCUAUUAGAUGAGCCUGCGUCGGAUUAGCUAGUUGGUGGGGUAAUGGCCUACCAAGGCGACGAUCCGUAGCUGGUCUGAGAGGAUGAUCAGCCACGACCGGGACUGAGACACGGCCCAGACCUCCGUACGGGAGGCAGCAGGUGGGG
This 341-nucleotide ribosomal RNA is filed under the name uncultured Gammaproteobacteria bacterium. RNAcentral describes it as "bacterial SSU rRNA". It matches the Rfam family "Bacterial small subunit ribosomal RNA", at positions 30 to 360 of the family's 1533-position model. The record is from RNAcentral. Lineage: Bacteria; Pseudomonadati; Pseudomonadota; Gammaproteobacteria.